GGCGGGAGUGGGGGUGCGGGUCCCUCGUCAGCGUCCCCGGGGGUGGCGAGGCCCUGGCGCUGGGGUGGAGGCCGGGCUUCUCGCUCGUCUGCGCCGCCGACUCGCUGUGUGGCCGCGCUGAAGGCCCUGCCCGGCCCUGGGCCCCGCUUCCCAUCUGCUGGUAAACUUCAAAAGUUCAACUUCCUUGGCUUCAUCCCUGAAGAUUCUUAUUUUUGACUGGAAGUUCCACGGAAGUCAAGGGAGCAGGAAGUGCUUGUGGAGGAGAGGGCAGCAGCAGCGGUGAACUGCCCUUGUUAUUACAGCGCUGCCUGUCAGAAUCGCCAGCGUCCGCAGCACUUGAACCUGAGGGCAAGCAGAGCGUUUGUGAAAGGCACGAAUGGCUAAAUGUCCACUGAGAGGCACAGAGAGGGGCCGCCUCAUGCUUAGGCAGAAGAAAUGGCCCCAUAAAAUGCCCCUGUCCCCUCCCUGCGACAGUGUAGUCACAGGCAAGCUCCUGCCCCGGAACCGCAGCUCCUGGAAUGCCAGCGAGGAGAGUCAUGCUUCCAGGGAGAGCAGUCGCU
Molecule: long non-coding RNA, 560 nt
Filed under: Equus caballus (horse)
Lineage: Eukaryota; Metazoa; Chordata; Mammalia; Perissodactyla; Equidae
Description: lncRNA (ENSECAG00000046759.1)
Source: RNAcentral